CUACGGGUGGCAGCAGUGGGGAAUAUUGCACAAUGGGCGCAAGCCUGAUGCAGCCAUGCCGCGUGUAUGAAGAAGGCCUUCGGGUUGUAAAGUACUUUCAGCGGGGAGGAAGGGAGUAAAGUUAAUACCUUUGCUCAUUGACGUUACCCGCAGAAGAAGCACCGGCUAACUCCGUGCCAGCAGCCGCGGUAAUACGGAGGGUGCAAGCGUUAAUCGGAAUUACUGGGCGUAAAGCGCACGCAGGCGGUUUGUUAAGUCAGAUGUGAAAUCCCCGGGCUCAACCUGGGAACUGCAUCUGGAUACUGGCAAGCUUGAGUCUCGUAGAGGGGGGUAGAAUUCCAGGUGUAGCGGUGAAAUGCGUAGAGAUCUGGAGGAAUACCGGUGGCGAAGGCGGCCCCCUGGACGAAGACUGACACUCAGGUGCGAAAGCGUGGGGAGCAAACAGGAUUAGAUACCCUAGUAGUC
RNAcentral lists this ribosomal RNA (465 nucleotides) under uncultured bacterium. RNAcentral describes it as "partial 16S ribosomal RNA". It matches the Rfam family "Bacterial small subunit ribosomal RNA", at positions 339 to 795 of the family's 1533-position model. The record is from RNAcentral.